GAAGAGUAACGUUCGAAAGAAUAUUA
Molecule: ribosomal RNA, 26 nt
Filed under: Melanoleuca strictipes
Lineage: Eukaryota; Fungi; Basidiomycota; Agaricomycetes; Agaricales; Pluteaceae
Description: partial 18S ribosomal RNA
Source: RNAcentral